This 281-nucleotide long non-coding RNA is filed under the name Homo sapiens (human). RNAcentral's name for it is "HSALNT0340081". The record is from RNAcentral. Lineage: Eukaryota; Metazoa; Chordata; Mammalia; Primates; Hominidae.
AGAUUCUCUGGAAUUUUCUGCAUAGACAAUUAUGUUGUCCACAGAUCGAAACCAUUUAUUCCUUUCUAAUCUGUACGCCUUUUCUUUUCUUUUUUUCUCUUUUUAUUGUUUGCUCCUCCUUCCCUUCAUGUGUCACUUUCCACCUCUGUCCCUUCUCUCCCCUUCCCUCUCUCACUCCUCCCUUAUUACAUUGGCUAAUAUGAAUAGAUCUCACUACUAACAGCCGAGAGCCUUGCGUGUUCUUGAACUUAAAGGGAAAGCAUUCAGUCUUUUGCUAAGAG